RNAcentral lists this ribosomal RNA (336 nucleotides) under uncultured Prevotella sp. RNAcentral describes it as "partial 16S ribosomal RNA". Lineage: Bacteria; Pseudomonadati; Bacteroidota; Bacteroidia; Bacteroidales; Prevotellaceae. The record is from RNAcentral.
GGAGUUUGGUCCGUGUCUCAGUACCAAUGUGGGGGACCUUCCUCUCAGAACCCCUACUGAUCGUCGCCUCGGUGGGCCGUUACCCCGCCGACAAGCUAAUCAGACGCAUCCCCAUCCCGCAGCGAUGAAUCUUUGCUCCUCGUUAGAUGCCUGCAAAGGAGAACAUAGGGCAUUAAUCCGACUUUCGCCGGGCGUGUUCCCUACUGCGGGGAAGGUUGGAUACGCGUUACUCACCCGUGCGCCGCUCGUCGGCAAGUAUUGCUACUCCCGUUACCCGCUCGACUUGCAUGUGUUAGGCCUGCCGCUAGCGUUUAUCCUGAGCCAUGAUCAAACUCA